GGCACAGGAAAGGACAGACAGAACACGAGCAGAGACCCCACCAAAAACAACAAAAAAAAAACAAAAAAAAGAACAACAACACAAAAAAAAAACCACGAAAACAAACAAAAGAAACAAAAAAAAACAACCACCCCCGAACGCCCCUUUCCUGGAGGAAAGGGGGGAAGACGUCAAAUCAUCAAGCCCCUUUAUGGGCCUGGGCUUCACACGUCAUACAAUGGUCGGGACAGAGGGUCGCACAGACCCGCGAGGUGGGAGCUCAAUCUCCAUAAAACACCGUUUCUCUAGUUCCGGGUUGCAGGUUUCCAAACUUCGCCUUGCCGGAAAGCUGGGAAUCGUUAGUUAUUGGGGGUUAACCAUGCCCCGGGGAAAGGUUUCCCGGCUUUUGUCCCCCCCCCCGGCCCCCCCCGAGAGUUUGUUUCACCCGAAAUAGGUUGGGGUACCUUAAGGGGCCCGCUUCCCAAGGUAGGACUGAUGAUGCGGUAACUSSNCUGU
This 495-nucleotide ribosomal RNA is filed under the name Alcaligenes sp. 'kafer elzyat2'. RNAcentral's name for it is "partial 16S ribosomal RNA". It matches the Rfam family "Bacterial small subunit ribosomal RNA", at positions 1155 to 1493 of the family's 1533-position model. The record is from RNAcentral. Lineage: Bacteria; Pseudomonadati; Pseudomonadota; Betaproteobacteria; Burkholderiales; Alcaligenaceae.